RNAcentral lists this ribosomal RNA (400 nucleotides) under uncultured archaeon. RNAcentral describes it as "bacterial SSU rRNA". It matches the Rfam family "Archaeal small subunit ribosomal RNA", at positions 279 to 681 of the family's 1478-position model. The record is from RNAcentral.
AGAGCGGGAGCCCGAAGAUGGGCACUGAGACAAGGGCCCAGGCCCUACGGGGCGCAGCAGUCGCGAAAACUCCGCAAUGCGCGAAAGCGUGACGGGGCUACCCCGAGUGCCGUCCGCUGAGGAUGGCUUUUCCCCGGUGUAAUGAGCCAGGGGAAUAAGGAGAGGGCAAGCCUGGUGUCAGCCGCCGCGGUAAAACCAGCUCUCCGAGUGGUAGGGACGAUUAUUGGGCCUAAAGCGUCCGUAGCCGGCUUGGCAAGUCUCCCGUUAAAUCCAGCGACCUAAUCGUUGGACUGCGGGAGAUACUGUUGGGCUAGGAGGCGGGAGAGGUCGACGGUAUUCUCGGGGUAGGGGUGAAAUCCUAUAAUCCCGGGAGGACCACCAGUGGCGAAGGCUGUCGGCU